AGCGUACACGGUGGAUGCCCUGGCAGUCAGAGGCGAUGAAGGACGUGCUAAUCUGCGAUAAGCGUCGGUGAGGUGAUAUGAACCGUUAUAACCGGCGAUUUCCGAAUGGGGAAACCCAGUGUGUUUCGACACACUAUCAUUAACUGAAUCCAUAGGUUAAUGAGGCGAACCGGGGGAACUGAAACAUCUAAGUACCCCGAGGAAAAGAAAUCAACCGAGAUUCCCCCAGUAGCGGCGAGCGAACGGGGAGGAGCCCAGAGCCUGAAUCAGUGUGUGUGUUAGUGGAAGCGUCUGGAAAGGCGUGCGAUACAGGGUGACAGCCCCGUACACAAAAAUGCACAUAUUGUGAGCUCGAUGAGUAGGGCGGGACACGUGGUAUCCUGUCUGAAUAUGGGGGGACCAUCCUCCAAGGCUAAAUACUCCUGACUGACCGAUAGUGAACCAGUACCGUGAGGGAAAGGCGAAAAGAACCCCGGCGAGGGGAGUGAAAGAACCCCGGCGAGGGGAGUGAAAAAGAACCUGAAACCGUGUACGUACAAGCAGUGGGAGCCUCUUAAUGGGGUGACUGCGUACCUUUUGUAUAAUGGGUCAGCGACUUAUAUUCUGUAGCAAGGUUAACCGAAUAGGGGAGCCGAAGGGAAACCGAGUCUUAACUGGGCGUUAAGUUGCAGGGUAUAGACCCGAAACCCGGUGAUCUAGCCAUGGGCAGGUUGAAGGUUGGGUAACACUAACUGGAGGACCGAACCGACUAAUGUUGAAAAAUUAGCGGAUGACUUGUGGCUGGGGGUGAAAGGCCAAUCAAACCGGGAGAUAGCUGGUUCUCCCCGAAAGCUAUUUAGGUAGCGCCUCGUGAAUUCAUCUCCGGGGGUAGAGCACUGUUUCGGCAAGGGGGUCAUCCCGACUUACCAACCCGAUGCAAACUGCGAAUACCGGAGAAUGUUAUCACGGGAGACACACGGCGGGUGCUAACGUCCGUCGUGAAGAGGGAAACAACCCAGACCGCCAGCUAAGGUCCCAAAGUCAUGGUUAAGUGGGAAACGAUGUGGGAAGGCCCAGACAGCCAGGAUGUUGGCUUAGAAGCAGCCAUCAUUUAAAGAAAGCGUAAUAGCUCACUGGUCGAGUCGGCCUGCGCGGAAGAUGUAACGGGGCUAAACCAUGCACCGAAGCUGCGGCAGCGACACUAUGUGUUGUUGGGUAGGGGAGCGUUCUGUAAGCCUGUGAAGGUGGCCUGUGAGGGUUGCUGGAGGUAUCAGAAGUGCGAAUGCUGACAUAAGUAACGAUAAAGCGGGUGAAAAGCCCGCUCGCCGGAAGACCAAGGGUUCCUGUCCAACGUUAAUCGGGGCAGGGUGAGUCGACCCCUAAGGCGAGGCCGAAAGGCGUAGUCGAUGGGAAACAGGUUAAUAUUCCUGUACUUGGUGUUACUGCGAAGGGGGGACGGAGAAGGCUAUGUUGGCCGGGCGACGGUUGUCCCGGUUUAAGCGUGUAGGCUGGUUUUCCAGGCAAAUCCGGAAAACCAAGGCUGAGGCGUGAUGACGAGGCACUACGGUGCUGAAGCGACAAAUGCCCUGCUUCCAGGAAAAGCCUCUAAGCAUCAGGUAACAUCAAAUCGUACCCCAAACCGACACAGGUGGUCAGGUAGAGAAUACCAAGGCGCUUGAGAGAACUCGGGUGAAGGAACUAGGCAAAAUGGUGCCGUAACUUCGGGAGAAGGCACGCUGAUAUGUAGGUGAAGCGACUUGCUCGUGGAGCUGAAAUCAGUCGAAGAUACCAGCUGGCUGCAACUGUUUAUUAAAAACACAGCACUGUGCAAACACGAAAGUGGACGUAUACGGUGUGACGCCUGCCCGGUGCCGGAAGGUUAAUUGAUGGGGUUAGCGGCAACGCGAAGCUCUUGAUCGAAGCCCCGGUAAACGGCGGCCGUAACUAUAACGGUCCUAAGGUAGCGAAAUUCCUUGUCGGGUAAGUUCCGACCUGCACGAAUGGCGUAAUGAUGGCCAGGCUGUCUCCACCCGAGACUCAGUGAAAUUGAACUCGCUGUGAAGAUGCAGUGUACCCGCGGCAAGACGGAAAGACCCCGUGAACCUUUACUAUAGCUUGACACUGAACAUUGAGCCUUGAUGUGUAGGAUAGGUGGGAGGCUUUGAAGUGUGGACGCCACGGGAGGCUUUGAAGUGUGGACGCCAGUCUGCAUGGAGCCGACCUUGAAAUACCACCCUUUAAUGUUUGAUGUUCUAACGUUGGCCCGUAAUCCGGGUUGCGGACAGUGUCUGGUGGGUAGUUUGACUGGGGCGGUCUCCUCCUAAAGAGUAACGGAGGAGCACGAAGGUUGGCUAAUCCUGGUCGGACAUCAGGAGGUUAGUGCAAUGGCAUAAGCCAGCUUGACUGCGAGCGUGACGGCGCGAGCAGGUGCGAAAGCAGGUCAUAGUGAUCCGGUGGUUCUGAAUGGAAGGGCCAUCGCUCAACGGAUAAAAGGUACUCCGGGGAUAACAGGCUGAUACCGCCCAAGAGUUCAUAUCGACGGCGGUGUUUGGCACCUCGAUGUCGGCUCAUCACAUCCUGGGGCUGAAGUAGGUCCCAAGGGUAUGGCUGUUCGCCAUUUAAAGUGGUACGCGAGCUGGGUUUAGAACGUCGUGAGACAGUUCGGUCCCUAUCUGCCGUGGGCGCUGGAGAACUGAGGGGGGCUGCUCCUAGUACGAGAGGACCGGAGUGGACGCAUCACUGGUGUUCGGGUUGUCAUGCCAAUGGCACUGCCCGGUAGCUAAAUGCGGAAGAGAUAAGUGCUGAAAGCAUCUAAGCACGAAACUUGCCCCGAGAUGAGUUCU
Molecule: ribosomal RNA, 2822 nt
Filed under: Escherichia coli TOP550-1
Lineage: Bacteria; Pseudomonadati; Pseudomonadota; Gammaproteobacteria; Enterobacterales; Enterobacteriaceae
Description: bacterial LSU rRNA
Rfam family: Bacterial large subunit ribosomal RNA
Source: RNAcentral